Molecule: long non-coding RNA, 500 nt
Organism: Ochotona princeps (American pika)
Lineage: Eukaryota; Metazoa; Chordata; Mammalia; Lagomorpha; Ochotonidae
Exons: 3
Source: RefSeq, a predicted model, not a curated record
GUGACUCACCGUCUCCUCGCAGCAGGAAGCAAGGGUGCCGUUCUAUCGUACUAAGGCUUGUCCAGGAGAAGAAAAGUAUGUGUCGUUCCUGAAGAGUCCUGGUCUGUCUCAUAAGGACCCUCUUGGCUCAUCUGGAAGAAGAGGAAAAUAAGAGAUACUGUGAGUGGACAUUUUCAGCUGUUGCGUGGAUGUUUUGCUUUGCCAGUGGGCACUUGGCACGUGCCAGGAGGCCGUGUCUCCAUUUUUCAGCUGCUUCUGGGACUGUGGUGCUCUUACUUCCCUGCCCCCCUGGAAGGAGCAAGAUGGCAGAAUUCCAGAAAGUGCUUCAGUAGAUGCAGCCCUGAAGGAGGCUAGGAGUCACAGGUCAGUGGCCCUUCACUUGAGACACCAGUGAAUGCCUGGUGACUCACAAAGCCUGGGGCAGGGAAUCUGCCUGCUGGAGGCUGCCUCUCACUCACAGGCACCAUUUCUGAAUUCAGUUAUAUUUUGGGAACUUAUCU